GCCGAGGUGGCGGAAUUGGUAGACGCGCUAGGUUCAGGGCCUAGUCCCAUAUAAAAUGGGGUCAGGGUUCAAAUCCCUGCCUCGGCACAA
RNAcentral lists this transfer RNA (90 nucleotides) under candidate division CPR3 bacterium. RNAcentral's name for it is "tRNA-Leu". It matches the Rfam family "tRNA". Rfam says of the family: Transfer RNA (tRNA) molecules are approximately 80 nucleotides in length. The record is from RNAcentral. Lineage: Bacteria; candidate division CPR3.